AGUUGACAGAAAACGAGACAAUCCAGUAUCAGCAUAAUCAGCACCACAGGUUACAGUUUCUAGGAACUAGAGCACCAGUAGUUCUCACGUUAAGGUCUUGGAGGAGCUGUCCAUUGGAGAAGUGGCGGGUAGUUGCUUUUCUUCCCCUCCCCCUUAAUGGGACCUUCAGGGCGCUUAACCCCUUCAACUUGCUGUUUUUACUUGAAGUGUUUUGGGAUGGUCUUACCAGGGAGAGAGGGUGGGGGGGAAAUGUUUUUUUCUAAGAUUUUCCACAGAUGCUAUAGUACUAUUGCCAAACUGGGUUAGAGAAGGAGUGUGCGCACGCCUGUGCUGUUGGCACCAACACCUUCAGGUACUGGAGCUGCUUUUAUCCCUCCCUGGACGAGUAUUCCCAGUUGAAGCUGAAAAGUACAGCACAGUGCAGCUUUGGUUCAUGCUCAGUCAACUCAGGAGAACUUCAGAAGAGCUUGACUAGGCCAGAUGUUGAAGUUAAGUUUUCAAGUAAUGUGCCUUUUAACAUGCUUUAUUAAAGGGGAGGGGCAGACGUUGGCAAUUAGCAGUUGGCAGUGACCUGUUCAUGGUUGGGGCGGGGGGGUCGGGUUAGGUAAUUGUUUAGUUUAUGAUUGCAGAUAACUCAUGCCAGAAAACUUAAAAUCUUAGAAUGGAGUACGAAAUCUCAACUUCCAAGUUGGCAAGUAACUCCCAAGUUCUUGUUUUCCCUCAAUUUUUGAAUUGGGCAGCUCGGGAAGUUUACGAAGAGCCACUGGGUGUACCAGUGCAUUAAUUUGGACAAGGAAAGCACUAUAAUUUGCCAGGUUCUCUGUUCCCCUCAAAGUACACUUGGGGGAAAGUGUUAGACUGGGGGUUGGUCUGGCCCCCGGGACUGACGUUAGCAACAACCUUGGGAGUAUUUUAAAAAAUGCAAAAGUUGUCUGGAUAUGGUAGUGUGUGGUUCUCUUUUGGAAUUUUUUUCAGGUGACUUAAUGUAACUUAAUACUACUAUAGAAACUUCAGAGCAAAGGAAGUGGCUUAAUGAUCCUGAAGGGAUUUCUUCUCAUGGUAGCUUUUAUAUUCUCAAGUAAGAAUCUAUUCUCAGUUGUGUGUAAGCCGAGUUUUUUUGUAGUGUAGGAGGUAUUUUUCCAUUGUAUGACUGCAGAACACGAUGUUAAGGUACGCUUCAAAAGUCUGUAAAUUGUGUAUUUUAAGUUUGUGUCUAUUUGUAACUCAAGACUGAUUAAGAAUUGUGAUUGGUUCAGUUUGAAUGUCUCUUAGAGGGUGGGCCUUUGUUGAUGAGGGAGGGGAAACUUUGUUUUUGUAGACUUUUUUCAGAUAACGUCUUCUGAGUCAUAACCAGCCUGGCAGUGUGAUGGCCUAGAUGCAGUGGGAUCCGCUCCUUGGUGAAUGAUAAGUAAAGGCAGAAAAGAUGACAUGUCACGCCCCACUGGGGAAUGAGCAUAACCCUGAGGUCCUCACUACUGAUGAAAACGUUGUCUGCGUAUGCCAAAAAAAAAAAAAAAAAAAAAUUAAGCAAACGAAAGCCACCAAUUUAAAGUUAUGGAAUCUACCAUUUUAAAGUUAUGGCUUGUCAAGCUAUACCCACACAAAUAAUGAAUUGAUGAGAAAUGCAAUGAAGAUCAGAUGUCCAUCUCAAAACUGCUUUUACAAAAGCAGAAUUUUAAAAAGAUGAAAUGAAAAUGAUUAUACUACAUUAAUCCUGGAAUCAAAGAAGCCGAAAUAAAUGAGUUGGGAUCAAGCGGAUUGAGGAGGCUGUGCUGGGUGCCAAUCUUUCGUUUGCCUCAGACAGGUUUCUCUUCGUUAUCAGAAGAGUUGCUUCAUUUCUUCUGGGAGCAGAAAACAGCAGGCAGCUGUUAACAGAUAAGUUUAUAACUUGCAUCUGCAGUAUUGCAUGUUAGGGAUAAGUACUAUUUUUAAGAGCUGUGGAGUUCUUACGUAUCAACCAUAGCACUUUAUCCUGACCCUUUCUCUAGGGGAUUUCAGGAUUGUGAGGAAUUUUCCCAUCCAGGCUUUUAAGAUUAGACGUAGGACUUGUGCCUGUGGGUUUACCUGAUGGGCUAGUACACCUCACUUAGAGGCGUUCUGCAUCUUUUAAUUUCUUAAAAGCCUCUAAAGUGAUUCGUGCCUUAAUCAUAAUGCUUAUAAAACGAAGGGAGUUUAUUUAAUCAUUGAAUCUCCGAAGGCCCUAUGAAGAGGAUAGCAUGAGUGCUAUGUUAAGAAUCAGAUGUUGAGCGUGCUAAAAUUUAAAUGUUGUGUUGUGAUAUGUAUUGUGUAGAAAACCAUUAAAUCAUUCAAAAUAAUAAACUAUUUUUACUAGAGAUGUAUAUUUUUAGAAAGCUGUCUCCUUAUUUAAAUAAAAUAUUGUUAUUGUCUGUAGUUAGUGUCGGGGCAAUCUUGGGGGGAUUCUUCUCUAAUCUUUCAGAAACUUUGUCUGCGAACACUCUUUAAUGGACCAGAUCAGGAAUUGAGCGGAAGAACGAAUGUAACUUUCUUAAGGCAGGAAAGACAAAUUUUAUUCUUCAUAAAGUGAUGAGCAUAUAAUUCCAGGCACAUGGCAAUAUAGAGGCCCUCUAAAUAAGGAAUAAAAUACCUCUUAGACAGGUGGGAGAUUAUGAUCAGAGGAAAAGGUAACUUACAAUUUUGUUUCCAGAAAGUCAGCGGGCUAAUAAUUUGGAGUGUCAAACUAGAGUGAUUAAAAUACUUUCCCACAUCUCCAAAGUUUGCAUGUCAACUCGAAAUGCUUAGGAUCUUCAAGUGUUAGACAAUGUUUUACGCUGCUGGCGUGGGGGGCCUUGUGGGUUUUUAAAGAAUUUUCCUUUACAGAGGCUUCAUUUCAUCCUUCACGAAGUUGUUCAGGAUUUUGACUUGCAUAUGAGUGCUUGGCUCUUCAUCUUCUAGCUUCACAGAGAAUGCAGUUGUCUUGACCUCAGGUCUGUCUGUUCUGUUGGCAAGUAAUUACGCAGUACUGUUCUGAUCUGCUGCUAUUAGAAUGUAUUGUGAAACGACUGAAGUAUGAUGAAAAGUUGUGCUCCCCAUGCUUGGAGUAGUGGUUGUUGGAGGAAAAUCCAGCUGAGUGAUAAAUAAAGGCUGAGUGUUGUGAGGAAAUUACCUCCAGCUUGUAAGCAGUCUGUUGUGAUUGAAGCUGAGAAUACCCUUUGCUGUGCUGCUUUAGGUAAAAUGCUUUUUGUUCAUUUCCGGGUGGGGGGCACUGAAGCCUUUAGUCUUUUCCAGAUGCAACCUUAAAAUCAGUGACAAGAACCAAAUUCCAAACAAGCAAGCCUUCAAGAAAUGUAACUGGCAAGUGGAUAUGUUUACCAGUUCAGUGAUCUUAGUGCAUUGUUUUUGUGUGGGUUUCUCUCUCCCCUCCCUUGGUCUUAAUUCUUACAUGCAGGAACAUUCAGAACAGCAACAUACGUAUGCGAAGGGCCAGAGAAGCCAGACCCAGUAAGAAAAAAUAGCUCAUUUACUUUAAACAAAUCAAACAUUCCAUUUUAAAUGUGGGGAUUGGGAACCACUAGUUCUUUCAGAUGGUAUUCUUCAGACUAUAGAAGGAGCUUCCAGUUGAAUUCACCAGAAGACAAAAUGAGGACAACAGGUGAACAAGCUUUUUCUAUGUUUGCAUUCAAAGUCAGAUCAGUUUCAGGAAAAAAGCCAAGUGUUGAAUAGGCCAGCUUUAUGCUGCAGUUUAGCAGGUGAGCGAGUUGUGUGUUGGCGCGGGGGUGGAGGGGUGAGGUGGGCGCUAAGCCUUUUCUUAAGAUUUUUCAGGUACCCCUCACUAAAGGCAUCGAAGGCUUAAAAGUAGGACAACCAUGGAGCCUUCCUGUGGCAAGAGAGACAACAAAGCGCUUUUAUACUAAGGUCAAAGUGGCAUCGGCCUCAUAACCCAGUUUUUGCUAGCAAUAAGGACCUGCCUCAACACCCACUUUCCAGAGUGAAGCUUCCAAAGGAAUGCUUGAGUGUCCGUGGGCUUCCCUUAACGUUUUGCAAGCUGUUUUUAUAGCAGCUUUUAGCCAGGCCCACAUCUCAAGUGGUGCUUGACGGGGAGGGAAAGGGGGAAAGCGGGCAACCAGUUUUCCCAAACUUUUCCAGCAGCCUGUUAAAAACGAGGCCUCCCCACAAGCGACUUCUCUGCCACGUCGCCACCCCCUGCCUUUGGCCUAGCACAGACCCUUCACCCCUCACCUCGAUGCAGCCGGUAGCUUGGAUCCUUGUGUGGGCAUGAUCCUUAAUCGGUUUCAAGGUAACAGUGGUGCCGAGGUCUCGGGCGGGUUGCACUCGACUAGAAAAGCCCAUUAAUUUGCCUGCGGAUUGUUAACAGAACGUUAUUGAAACCACAUCCAAGUAGCUCUAAGGUGUUUGACAUAUCAUAACACUUACCCAUCGACUAAAACCACCUUAAACCAUUAAGUGAAGAACUGCCUUGUUGGGUGGGAACGUCUUAACUUGCAGCCAGAAGGAGAUAGGCAUUUUAGUGGUUGAGGGCUGUUGGGGAGGUAUGCACAAUUUCUCUGCUAAGACUUUUUCAGGUGAACAUAACAGACUUGGCCAAGCUAGCAUCUUAGCGGAAGCAGAUUCUCCAAAGCUCUUCAGUAGGGCUGUGAAGGUUUUUCUUUUCCUGAGAUAACAAAAAUCUUUUUGUUAUCUCAGGUUUUGCUUUUUGGCCUUUUCCUAGCUUUAAAAAAAAAAAGCAAAAGAUGCUGGUGGUUGGCACUCCUGGUUUCCAGGACGGGGUUCAAAUCCCUGCGGCGUCUUUGCUUCACUGUAAUGCCAGUCUUCCGGGCUCUUUCCAUUUUCCCCCUCCUGGCAGGGGCUAGGCUCUGGCGCCUGGAAAGUGGAAGGUAACCGUACGGUACUUUCACACUAGACAUUCCCUGAUGUUGCGUUUGUCACAAGCCUGACUUGAUUGUGUGUUUGAAUUACAUGAAAACCUCAUGUGACUGACUUGUAUUUCAUUUUCAGGUAUUCCCUGUGCAGCUAGUGCUUGGAGAAUGCCUACUGUUGAAAACUUGCGAUUCCAUGUAAUAAAGAAUGGAAAGGUCUAA
Long non-coding RNA from Carlito syrichta (Philippine tarsier), 5057 nucleotides. RefSeq lists it as uncharacterized. The transcript has 2 exons. The record is from RefSeq and is a predicted model, not a curated record. Lineage: Eukaryota; Metazoa; Chordata; Mammalia; Primates; Tarsiidae.